Molecule: non-coding RNA, 1246 nt
Organism: Coffea arabica (coffee)
Lineage: Eukaryota; Viridiplantae; Streptophyta; Magnoliopsida; Gentianales; Rubiaceae
Source: RefSeq, a predicted model, not a curated record
CCCCCUUUUCCCCUUCUUCUCUUUCCUUUUUUCAAUUAUAUGAUUCUAACUGAUUUUUUUCUCUUGCUAGAAUUGGUCUGGAUAUGAAGCUACUAAACGCAUGAGACACAAAAAUCAUCUUAAUUGAUUGCGGACAAUGGAUUGAAAGUCCACGAGAAGGAGAAAAAGAAUCAACUUUCCAGAUAGGGAUCUCAUUUUUCUUUUAAUAAAUUGAGGGAAAAAUGGAAGAGAAGUCGACGGGAAGAAGAAAAAAAGAUUUAAGUUUUCAAGCUCACCUGAAAUUCAGCUUUCAAGUUAUAUUCUAUUCAUUGGUUUCACAAAGUAGCUAUAGAUUGAGGAACAUCACAAGGAAAUACUAAUGGGAGGAGAAAAAGAUUUAGCUUUUCAGGAAGAAGCAAUCUUUAUUUGUGGUCCAGGAAUAAACAAAUGGUGAAGAUAGCCUUUAAGUGAGAAUAUCUUAAACUAGGUGACUUGGUUGAGCAGAUAUUGUGCACAUCCAUAUUUGGAACUCCAUAGCAUGUUAGCUUCCUUAUUUGGCUAUCUAAAUAGACUAUUCUGUAGUGUGAAAAUGUCAUCUUCUUUUGAUGGGCUUUUGAAUAAUGAAUCAUUAGUUUCUUUUCAUUGAUUAAUUUUAUAGAUUGAUUACACUUUUGUUGUUAGAGUAAGUUUUACUUGGUAAUAAAUUUGUAUAUUUCAUCUUUAACCUUUUGGGUUCAUUUCUUGAACUUCAAUAUUUAUAGGUAUAAACUUGUUGAAAAAAGGAUGAGAGGCAUUGGCAGUAUUCAACAUUUUGCUGACUUGCUAAAUUUGUUAAGAGAAUUUUCUUCACUUUCCUUGGAAUAUGCUUCUGCUGUUCUAUCGUCUAUGUGCAGGUUAUUAGUCAAGAUAUCUGACACUUCUUUAGGCUUUGUUGUUCUAGGCCCAAUCAGAUAUCUUUAUACUUACUGUUAUUUGAUUGUGUGGCUUGAGUUCAAAUUAAGUAAAUUAUUUGAGAGAAUGCUUAAUGAUUUGUUUGGCUUGUUUUGCUUAGCAAUGAGUCAAAGCCCGAAGAGUGGAAGAACUCUUACCGUUUCCCUUGCACUAUCAUGAUUGAAGUGCCAUGCAUCCCUAGAAUCAAGAUUGGAAUUAUUUCUAUGUCUGUCCUGCAUGGAUCUACAGUGAUUAUUUAUUAGCCUCAUUUUUGGAUACAUAUUAUUGUAGACAUUAUGUACCUUUUACAUUUUAAAUAAGAGGUUUCGUUUGUAAA